UGAGGAAUAUUGGUCAAUGGACGAGAGUCUGAACCAGCCAAGUAGCGUGAAGGAUGACUGCCCUAUGGGUUGUAAACUUCUUUUAUACGGGAAUAAAGUGAGGUACGUGUGCCUUUUUGUAUGUACCGUAUGAAUAAGGAUCGGCUAACUCCGUGCCAGCAGCCGCGGUAAUACGGAGGAUCCGAGCGUUAUCCGGAUUUAUUGGGUUUAAAGGGAGCGUAGGCGGACGCUUAAGUCAGUUGUGAAAGUUUGCGGCUCAACCGUAAAAUUGCAGUUGAUACUGGGUGUCUUGAGUACAGUAGAGGCAGGCGGAAUUCGUGGUGUAGCGGUGAAAUGCUUAGAUAUCACGAAGAACUCCGAUUGCGAAGGCAGCCUGCUGGACUGUAACUGACGCUGAUGCUCGAAAGUGUGGGUAUCAAACAGGAUUAGAUACCCUGGUAGUCCACACAGUAAACGAUGAAUACUCGCUGUUUGCGAUAUACAGUAAGCGGCCAAGCGAAAGCGUUAAGUAUUCCACCUGGGGAGUACGCCGGCAACGGUGAAACUCAAAGGAAUUGACGGGGGCCCGCACAAGCGGAGGAACAUGUGGUUUAAUUCGAUGAUACGCGAGGAACCUUACCCGGGCUUGAAUUGCAACUGAAUGAUGUGGAGACAUGUCAGCCGCAAGGCAGUUGUGAAGGUGCUGCAUGGUUGUCGUCAGCUCGUGCCGUGAGGUGUCGGCUUAAGUGCCAUAACGAGCGCAACCCUUAUCGAUAGUUACCAUCAGGUUAUGCUGGGGACUCUGUCGAGACUGCCGUCGUAAGAUGUGAGGAAGGUGGGGAUGACGUCAAAUCAGCACGGCCCUUACGUCCGGGGCUACACACGUGUUACAAUGGAGGGUACAGAAGGCAGCUACACGGCGACGUGAUGCUAAUCCCGAAAGCCUCUCUCAGUUCGGAUUGGAGUCUGCAACCCGACUCCAUGAAGCUGGAUUCGCUAGUAAUCGCGCAUCAGCCACGGCGCGGUGAAUACGUUCCC
This 1017-nucleotide ribosomal RNA is filed under the name uncultured organism. Its description in RNAcentral is "bacterial SSU rRNA". It matches the Rfam family "Bacterial small subunit ribosomal RNA", at positions 355 to 1375 of the family's 1533-position model. The record is from RNAcentral.